This 465-nucleotide ribosomal RNA is filed under the name Vreelandella stevensii. RNAcentral describes it as "partial 16S ribosomal RNA". It matches the Rfam family "Bacterial small subunit ribosomal RNA", at positions 338 to 795 of the family's 1533-position model. Lineage: Bacteria; Pseudomonadati; Pseudomonadota; Gammaproteobacteria; Oceanospirillales; Halomonadaceae. The record is from RNAcentral.
CCUACGGGUGGCUGCAGUGGGGAAUAUUGGACAAUGGGCGAAAGCCUGAUCCAGCCAUGCCGCGUGUGUGAAGAAGGCCUUCGGGUUGUAAAGCACUUUCAGUGGGGAAGAAAGCCUUGGGGCUAAUACCCUCGAGGAAGGACAUCACCCACAGAAGAAGCACCGGCUAACUCCGUGCCAGCAGCCGCGGUAAUACGGAGGGUGCGAGCGUUAAUCGGAAUUACUGGGUGUAAAGCGCGCGUAGGCGGUCUGAUAAGCCGGUUGUGAAAGCCCCGGGCUCAACCUGGGAACGGCAUCCGGAACUGUCAGGCUAGAGUGCAGGAGAGGAAGGUAGAAUUCCCGGUGUAGCGGUGAAAUGCGUAGAGAUCGGGAGGAAUACCAGUGGCGAAGGCGGCCUUCUGGACUGACACUGACGCUGAGGUGCGAAAGCGUGGGUAGCAAACAGGAUUAGAUACCCCAGUAGUC